UACGUAGGGGGCAAGCGUUGUCCGGAAUUAUUGGGCGUAAAGCGCGCGCAGGCGGUUUUUUAAGUCUGGUGUUUAAACCUUGGGCUCAACCCAGGGUCGCACGGGAAACUGGGAGACUGGAGUGCAGGAGAGGAAAGUGGAAUUCCACGUGUAGCGGUGAAAUGCGUAGAGAUGUGGAGGAACACCAGUGGCGAAGGCGACUUUCUGGCCUGUAACUGACGCUGAGGCGCGAAAGCGUGGGGAGCAAACAGG
This 252-nucleotide ribosomal RNA is filed under the name uncultured bacterium. RNAcentral describes it as "partial 16S ribosomal RNA". It matches the Rfam family "Bacterial small subunit ribosomal RNA", at positions 524 to 776 of the family's 1533-position model. The record is from RNAcentral.